RNAcentral lists this ribosomal RNA (465 nucleotides) under Vreelandella stevensii. Its description in RNAcentral is "partial 16S ribosomal RNA". It matches the Rfam family "Bacterial small subunit ribosomal RNA", at positions 338 to 795 of the family's 1533-position model. Lineage: Bacteria; Pseudomonadati; Pseudomonadota; Gammaproteobacteria; Oceanospirillales; Halomonadaceae. The record is from RNAcentral.
CCUACGGGGGGCAGCAGUGGGGAAUAUUGGACAAUGGGGGCAACCCUGAUCCAGCCAUGCCGCGUGUGUGAAGAAGGCCCUCGGGUUGUAAAGCACUUUCAGUGAGGAAGAACGCCUGGUGGUUAAUACCCAUCAGGAAAGACAUCACUCACAGAAGAAGCACCGGCUAACUCCGUGCCAGCAGCCGCGGUAAUACGGAGGGUGCGAGCGUUAAUCGGAAUUACUGGGCGUAAAGCGCGCGUAGGUGGCGUGAUAAGCCGGUUGUGAAAGCCCCGGGCUCAACCUGGGAACGGCAUCCGGAACUGUCAAGCUAGAGUGCAGGAGAGGAAGGUAGAAUUCCCGGUGUAGCGGUGAAAUGCGUAGAGAUCGGGAGGAAUACCAGUGGCGAAGGCGGCCUUCUGGACUGACACUGACACUGAGGUGCGAAAGCGUGGGUAGCAAACAGGAUUAGAUACCCGUGUAGUC